UGAUUGAGCCGCGCCAAUAUCU
Molecule: non-coding RNA, 22 nt
Filed under: Arabidopsis thaliana (thale cress)
Lineage: Eukaryota; Viridiplantae; Streptophyta; Magnoliopsida; Brassicales; Brassicaceae
Also listed under: 2 other names
Source: RNAcentral